Long non-coding RNA from Corticium candelabrum, 885 nucleotides. RefSeq lists it as uncharacterized. The record is from RefSeq and is a predicted model, not a curated record. The transcript has 3 exons. Lineage: Eukaryota; Metazoa; Porifera; Homoscleromorpha; Homosclerophorida; Plakinidae.
CGUACCACGCACCUUUCGCCGAUCUCGCUGUACACAAAGUCCACGUUUCAGGGUCCGUUUCUGAACCGUAGAUCAUCUUGCUGUUGAUUAGGCUUUACGUUUACGAAGCCAUUGUUGACUACGGCUUCUCAAGGCUAAGAGACUGCUGUUCAAAUAGAAGUUGCCUGAUUCACACUCUGAACAGAUAUACGUGGAGUAGAAAGACAGACUACUGAGUGACGGAAUUUUGGCAGCGUUCUUGAACUGUGUAACUGUGUAUAUCGUCGAACUAGAGUCAGCAAAAAUUCGUCUAGCUUAUAUCCAACCCUUCAUGGAAGGCGGUGAUCAUGAGCUUACCACCAUCACUCAUGUACAGUACAUUGGCCUGAUUCUUUGUUUGCUAUACAGAGUAAUUGUCUCGGCUGCUGGUUCAAUCUAACACCACACUGUAACAAGCACUUUUCUCUGCACAAAACCUGUGUAAAACUUGAUUUUAGCACUAGGCAGUGUACGUGUUGAGCGAGAAUGUCUAGCUAUAGCUUUUCUUGCAACUCAUGCUUUGCAGAUGCAAGGUCUUGCUCAAGAACUCUAAUCUUGUUUUGAGUUCCACUAUUUCAUUUGCUUGCUAGCUGUUCAAUUAUCCGACGGAAACCGUCAGCUUCAGCCUCAUUGACAUCUUUUCGACAAUCACGUCUUGAUCAACUGGUGAUGAGGUAGAACAGCGUCUUCUUUCUGAUUUAGACAUUACAGCUAUGAAAUAAUAGUGUACCUGUGUUUUGUUACUUUAGACAUAACUGCUGCUGGGACUUGUAGACCGGCAGUGCUAAUUGUACAUAACAAAGACUUAGACUGUACAGUACGUGCACUGUACCUAUAGAGUGCCAGUUAUAACAGUAACAACUUCGA